GAUGAACGCUGGCGGCGUGCCUAAUACAUGCAAGUCGAGCGAACGGACGAGAAGCUUGCUUCUCUGAUGUUAGCGGCGGAUGGGUGAGUAACACGUGGAUAACCUACCUAUAAGACUGGGAUAACUUCGGGAAACCGUAGCUAAUACCGGAUCAUAUUUUGAACCGCAUGGUUCAAAAGUGAAAGACGGUCUUGCUGUCACUUAUAGAUGGAUCCGCGCUGCAUUAGCUAGUUGGUAAGGUAACGGCUUACCAAGGCAACGAUGCAUAGCCGACCUGAGAGGGUGAUCGGCCACACUGGAACUGAGACACGGUCCAGACACCUACGGGAGGCAGCAGUAGGGAAUCUUCCGCAAUGGGCGAAAGCCUGACGGAGCAACGCCGCGUGAGUGAUGAAGGUCUUCGGAUCGUAAAACUCUGUUAUUAGGGAAGAACAUAUGUGUAAGUAACUGUGCACAUCUUGACGGUACCUAAUCAGAAAGCCACGGCUAACUACGUG
Molecule: ribosomal RNA, 497 nt
Filed under: uncultured bacterium
Lineage: Bacteria
Description: partial 16S ribosomal RNA
Rfam family: Bacterial small subunit ribosomal RNA
Source: RNAcentral